RNAcentral lists this unclassified non-coding RNA (344 nucleotides) under Hevea brasiliensis (rubber tree). The record is from RNAcentral. Lineage: Eukaryota; Viridiplantae; Streptophyta; Magnoliopsida; Malpighiales; Euphorbiaceae.
AAAAAGUAGAGACUCAAUGUUAAAAUCAAACAAAACAUAGGUCAAAAGGUAAAGGCAAGCUAUUGCUAAGGAUUCAAGAAACAUGGAAAGAAAUCAUACGUCAACAUCAAUCUUGCUCCUGGUAAUGGUGAGAUGCACCCUUCCAAGUUUACAGACACAAGACCAAGAGAUAAUUCAAAUAAAAGCUAGUAAACCAAAUGGGUUUAUAAUUGCAAAAUAUAAAAGCAGCCUCUCCUGAAGAUAUCACCUUACACCUUAAUAGCAUACUUUCUCAUGGGGAAGUACAUUUCUCUCUUCUUCUCACGUUCCGUCUUCAAAGAUUGCUGGUGCUUAGUAAGCCUCCU